Molecule: long non-coding RNA, 566 nt
Organism: Sander lucioperca (pikeperch)
Lineage: Eukaryota; Metazoa; Chordata; Actinopteri; Perciformes; Percidae
Exons: 3
Source: RefSeq, a predicted model, not a curated record
AAUUAAAUUAGGGUAAUAAGGAUGCAAAAGUAAGUACAACUAUGUAAAGCAACUACAAGUAGAAGUUUGCAGAUUUAAAACCAGAUUUCUAAAUUGUCCAAGAGGCACAAUUGAGUUGAUUUUAACAAAGUGUGUGUUGUAAUUUGUUCCAGGAGUCGGGUGCACUAAAACUAAAAGCAGUUUUUCCAAGCAGACCGAGCUCGUGGAACAUGAAGUGAAAGCCAGUCAGCAGAGCGAGUCUGAUAAUGUCCCUCUGAGUAACAGAGAAGUUCUGUAAGGUAAGAUGUUAGUUUUCCAAUAAGAGCCUCAUAGAUAAAGAGAUACCAGUGAGUAUCUCGUCUUUCUUGGAGAGAAGACCACCCAAUACUUUCAUAUAAAAUACAAUGAUGUGAACCAUAGCCAUGACCGGUUAUGAAUCUCAAGGCAGAGUGAUAGACUGAGUCCAGAGAUUUAAGAGUUGAAGAUGAUGCAUGUCUAUAAAUCACAUCACCAUAGUCCAAGACAGACAUGAAAAAUGCUUUUGUUUCUGUAGAAAUAGCCACUUUUUUUACCUGAGUCUGCACCCA